GCUGCUGCUGCCCGGUGCCUGGCUAGCACUCCGUUCAGGGGGUGGGGGGAGGCUUUUCGCUGGUGCCGGCUGCACGUUGCACAGGAGAGAGCGUAAGAGAGUAGUAGAGGAGCUGGUGGCCGUGGGGCAAGUCCUGCCCCCGUGCCUAGAGUGAAAGGGGUUGUGUGGUUGCUGAGAGGGUGAAUGAAGCCAGGAGGAGGGGAAGGAGAAGGAGGAGGAGGCGCUGCAGGGAUUGGGAUGCGCCCAGUAGCCCCGCUGUUCACUCAGGGCCGGGCCAGGCCGGAGACACCAUCACCACUACCACUACCACCGCCUCCUACUUGUUCCAGUGCUGACUGCAUCACAAGGCAAGCCAGAAGGGUGGUCCAUUCAAACUUUGGAUUUAUUCAUGGUCUUUGUACAGCAGCCCCUUCUCCCAUCAUCACUACUGGGAAGUGUACUAUAAAUCAGGUAAGAGUUUCAUGAUGCUAUUUAUUUUGUAUCUUAGGGUUUAGGCAGUUUGGCCUGUAAAGAAAAAUAUU
This 521-nucleotide long non-coding RNA is filed under the name Vombatus ursinus (common wombat). Its description in RNAcentral is "lncRNA (ENSVURG00010002606.1)". Lineage: Eukaryota; Metazoa; Chordata; Mammalia; Diprotodontia; Vombatidae. The record is from RNAcentral.